UACGGGAGGCAGCAGUGGGGAAUAUUGCACAAUGGGCGCAAGCCUGAUGCAGCCAUGCCGCGUGUAUGAAGAAGGCCUUCGGGUUGUAAAGUACUUUCAGUCGUGAGGAAGGUGUUAAGGUUAAUAACCUUAGCAAUUGACGUUAGCGACAGAAGAAGCACCGGCUAACUCCGUGCCAGCAGCCGCGGUAAUACGGAGGGUGCGAGCGUUAAUCGGAAUUACUGGGCUAAAGGGCACGCAGGCGGUUAAUUAAGUUGGAUGUGAAAUCCCCGGGCUUAACCUGGGAAUGGCAUUCAAGACUGGUUAGCUAGAGUCUUGUAGAGGGGGUUAGAAUUCCAUGUGUAGCGGUGAAAUGCGUAGAGAUGUGGAGGAAUACCGGUGGCGAAGGCGGCCCCUGGACAAAGGCUGACGCUCAUGUGCGAAAGCGUGGGGAGCAAAC
This 439-nucleotide ribosomal RNA is filed under the name uncultured bacterium. RNAcentral describes it as "bacterial SSU rRNA". It matches the Rfam family "Bacterial small subunit ribosomal RNA", at positions 340 to 773 of the family's 1533-position model. The record is from RNAcentral.